ACAACAGAGAGGAGUUAGUUUGCAAGAGGAGGCAUUAUCUUCAUGGUGGAGACAAACUGUCGAGCCCGGAGUAGAAAGGGAAGGGGAAAAGGAAGAAACUGAAGAAUGGUCGAGAAAGGGAAGGGGAAAAGGAAGAAACUGAAGAAUGGUCGAUAUUCUGACGACGACGACGACGACGUAGUAUCGCUGGAUCCUCAGUUAAUUCAAUGUGAGAAGAAGAAGAAGAGAAAAAACACAGGUCUUAACGUCUUAAUGGAACUAGAAAAGCAAGGUAUUGGUGCAGUGAUGUACAAAUAUUUACCGUAUGGAAGUGCUUCUUAACAUCAGUGAAUUAUUGUAAUGUGAUGUAGCCUAAUGUUGUCUGUCAUAUUGUACACCAUGGGGUCGCCAACUGGCCUGCUUUGCCUGGCCUGUCAGAUCAUUUUGACUUUUUGCUUUCUGUCAAAAAUUAAGCAUAUUAACAAGAUUAGAUUUGAGUAUUCAUCUCCUGUUCCGCCUGCAUUGUCUACUCGCUCAGGCUCAUCCCCCAUGCUGACCUCUGUUGUACAGUCUUGAUGUAACCCUUAACUCUAUCUUCUGUUUGUCGUAGGAUCAUGUCAGCUGAACUCAAUUAACGAAACCAGGAAUGAAGUAAACUGUCUGCACUUAAUGUUCUACCUACAAUUAAAGUUUUUAUUUCCUAACUCUAUAGUAUAGGGAUAGAUACAGCAAUAUAUUCCUGUAAUCUAUCAGCUGUGAGCUUUGUACCCUCUAACGGGCUUCUGUAGGUAUUUGCCCAGGUGUAUGUCAGUCAGUUUUGUUUUUUUAAUGGAAUUUUUAUUUUCAGUGCCAUCACCCAUCUUGUGAGCUGUUGAGGGAGAACAACCACAGGCUGCAGAGGGAAAAUGAUUCUCUCUAGGCAAAAAUAGCAACAUUGAAAUUGCUGCCAGACGCUUUGCAGAAGAUGGAGGAGUUUCUCCGCUCAGCACCAAGACCAACGACAACACCAAUACCAACACCAAGACCAGAACCAUCACUAUCACCAGCACCAACAGCAGUUCCACCACCAGCAACAGAAGACCCAUCACCAGCUCCAGGUCCAUCAUCAGCAUCAGCAACAGAGGCCCUGGGCCACUCUGUCAUUCCAAAAGGACUUGUGGAGCGCUGCUCCUUCCAAAGCCCCCAGAAGUUCAUAAAUGAUCUCCUACAUGGGAUGUAUACCAGGGAAUAUAUGGCAGGCCAUUCAGUGACUGGCCAGUCAUCCAGCAGCUGCACAGAAGGAAAACCUGGCCUAGCCAAACAGGACCUUGUUGAAAUAACAAGUAGGUAUAUAGAAAUGAGAAAAGAUGUUGGUUGAGUGAUACCCUCAUUCUCAUGCUCAUCUUUCGUGUAUGUGUUUGUGUGUGUGUGUGUGUAUUCCCAAAGAUGCUGCAAAGUUGAAGUUCACCUACGUAACUGAUACGAACAUAAAAGCAUUUAUACGACAAAAGCUGAACAAUGCUGCCAAAUUUCAGAAACAAUAAAUUAUCAACUGUU
RNAcentral lists this long non-coding RNA (1515 nucleotides) under Gadus morhua (Atlantic cod). RNAcentral describes it as "lncRNA (ENSGMOG00000024685.1)". Lineage: Eukaryota; Metazoa; Chordata; Actinopteri; Gadiformes; Gadidae. The record is from RNAcentral.